RNAcentral lists this transfer RNA (64 nucleotides) under Gononemertes parasita. RNAcentral describes it as "tRNA-Ala". The record is from RNAcentral. Lineage: Eukaryota; Metazoa; Nemertea; Enopla; Monostilifera; Prosorhochmidae.
GGCGUUAUACUUUAAUUAAAAAGGUUUAUUUUGCGUGUAAAAUAUGAGGCUUUCUCUAAUGCCA